UCAGUUCGGAUUGGAGUCUGCAACUCGACUCCAUGAAGCUGGAUUCGCUAGUAAUCGCGCAUCAGCCAUGGCGCGGUGAAUACGUUCCCGGGCCUUGUACACACCGCCCGUCAAGCCAUGGAAGCCGGGGGGUGCCUGAAGUGCGUGACCGCAAGGAGCGCCCUAAGGUAAAACCGGUGACUGGGGCUAAGUCGUAACAAGGUAGC
This 206-nucleotide ribosomal RNA is filed under the name uncultured bacterium. Its description in RNAcentral is "partial 16S ribosomal RNA". It matches the Rfam family "Bacterial small subunit ribosomal RNA", at positions 1288 to 1500 of the family's 1533-position model. The record is from RNAcentral.